GCACAAACAGAACCAAACAAGAACCAACACUUUGCUCCUACUUACUACUAAACUAAACUCCUCUCUCUCUCUCUCUCUCUCUCUCUCCUCGACUUUCUUCCAUCGGGGUUCGCAAUUUGCUGCGCCACUCUCUUAGCUUCUUUGCACAUCGCUUCUUCUAAUCUUCGUUCCUGCUGCUCGCCGGAGCAUCUUGUGUCGUUUCCCAAAACCUAGUUGCACUCUUGUCGGUUGCAUCUCAGAUUGUGACACAACCGGUGCAGAUCAGGGCUCUUAUUGAGAAUAUCUAUACCUUCCAGAGUGCUCUAUCAACUCCAAGGUCGUAGCUCGAAGCAGUUUCAAUAAAAUAUCCCUCUCUUAAGGAUUAUUUCAAUGGAGAAUCACUCUUUGCCGCCAAGCACUAGCACCACGUCCCUUGUGUUUCCAUCUUUAGUGGCUGGAGGAGUCAAACCUGAAGCUGCUUUGGUCAUGGAUUGGUCAGUUGAGGAGCAGUAUGUAUUAGAGAACGGCCUUGCAAAGUUGAAAGAUGAACCCAAGAUCUCAAAGUAUGUAAAGAUCGCUGCAGCUCUACCAGAUAAAACUGUAAGGGAUGUAGCACUGAGGUGCAGAUGGAUGGCGAGAAAACGGAGAAAAAGAGAGGAAAACAGUGCUGGGAAGAACAUUAGCAAUAGAAAGGUGGUGGAUACAUCCCCAGAACUGAACAUGCUAGCCAAUUUGCCACAACAAAAUGCUUUAUAUGCCAACUACCACAGUACACACAUGCCUUUUGAAGAUAUAAGCGAUGCAGUAUUGGAUCUUGUACAGCAAAACGCUCAAGCUUUUAGUCAAAUUUCAUACAACCUCUCUGCAUUCAAGCUGCAGGAUAACAUCAGUCUCCUUUAUCAGGCAAGAAAUAACAUCAGCGCCAUUCUCAAUGACAUGAAGGAGAUGCCUGGUAUCAUGAGUCGGAUGCCGCCUCUACCUGUUUCAAUUAACGAUGAUCUUGCAAGCCGUUUAUUGCCGAGUACAACACAGCCAAUAUCGUACACCAUGCAACCAAACAUCCACAUGAAGCAAGAGCCGAGAAGUUGAUUGAGGAAAAAUGGAUUUUGACCAAUGCUAUAAAGAAAAUAGCACAAGUACUUGGUUAAGUGGCAAUGUUUCCGUGAUGAUCGACAUGACAUAGACACACAAGGGUUUAUCAACUGCAGACACUGCUCCAGAACAAAGACGAGAUCUGACACUCGGCACUGGUAGAACAGUUGAGCUCUCGGGUAGUUUGACUGAGAAGACUGAACUACAAGCAAAGGUAACAAUUCAAGGACCUUCAGAACUCAGAACGUGCGAUCCGGACUUCCUUACUUCUCGCAAAAAGAUAAGUAUCAAACUUGCAUUCUCUCCUUCUGACUUGUCUAGUAACUGGAACUUUAUCAAACCCUGUUUGUAGACUUCUGAUAUGCUCUUAACCAGCGCUCUGAUACCACUUGUGAAGGAUAUAGAUUGAUCGUUUUGAGCUAGUCAGAUUAACCUAGUCUAGUACACAAGGGAUUUAACGAGUUCCUGGCCUCGACCAGUACGUGUGGGAUCUCUUGCCCACAAACUUCACUAGAAUCAAACAGGAGUUUACAAACACUAAUAGAUCUCUCUCUGCUAUGUCUCAAUCUCAUGUGUUCAAGCACAACCUCAAGAUAGAGCUGCAGCCAACAACAAGAAGAAAUAAAACCGGGCUGGAUAGUAUGGGUUUGGGCCGAGUCACUUAGCUCACACGGCUAGGUUCAAAAACGGUAACCAAGCGAUCGCUACGUGUUACGCGACGCUUAGUGACGUUAUAAUCUAGCUAGCGCGAGGAAAAGCAUAAGGAAACGUGACGUAAUGGCGUUGAAUAUGUUUUUAACUGCGGCUGUGUCUGAUUAUGGUGCAUGUGUCGAAGGGUUUAUUAUGCGAACCAAGUUAAUACGGUUCAGAAUGUAGCGGUUGAUUUGAGAAAAAUUAGUAGUAAUUG
This is an RNA transcript of Brassica oleracea var. oleracea, 1978 nucleotides long. RefSeq lists it as uncharacterized. The record is from RefSeq and is a predicted model, not a curated record. Lineage: Eukaryota; Viridiplantae; Streptophyta; Magnoliopsida; Brassicales; Brassicaceae. The transcript is spliced from 11 exons.